UACGUAGGGGGCAAGCGUUGUCCGGAUUUAUUGGGCGUAAAGAGCUCGUAGGCGGCCUGUCGCGUCUGCUGUGAAAUCCCGGGGCUUAACCCCGGGCGUGCAGUGGAUACGGGCUGGCUGGAGGCAGGCAGGGGAGAACGGAAUUCCCGGUGUAGCGGUGAAAUGCGCAGAUAUCGGGAGGAACACCGGUGGCGAAGGCGGUUCUCUGGGCCUGUUCUGACGCUGAGGAGCGAAAGCGUGGGGAGCGAACAGG
Molecule: ribosomal RNA, 253 nt
Filed under: uncultured bacterium
Lineage: Bacteria
Description: partial 16S ribosomal RNA
Rfam family: Bacterial small subunit ribosomal RNA
Source: RNAcentral